AGUGAACGCUGGCGGUAGGCCUAACACAUGCAAGUCGAACGGCAGCACAGUAAGAGCUUGCUCUUACGGGUGGCGAGUGGCGGACGGGUGAGGAAUACAUCGGAAUCUACUUUUUCGUGGGGGAUAACGUAGGGAAACUUACGCUAAUACCGCAUACGACCUACGGUUGAAAGCAGGGGAUCUUCGGACCUUGCGCGAUUGAAUGAGCCGAUGUCGGAUUAGCUAGUUGGGGGGGUAAAGGCCCACCAAGGCGACGAGCCGUAGCUGGUCUGAGAGAAUGAUAGCCCCAGCUGGAACUCUAGGACGGUCCAGACUCCUACGAGGGGCAGCAGUGGCGAAUAUUGCACAAUGAACACAAGCCUGAUCCAGCCAUACCGCGUGGGUAACGAAAGCCUUCGGGUCGUAAAGCCCUUUUGUUGGGAAAGAAAAGCGGCCGCUUAAUACCCCGCUGUUCUGACGGUACCCAAAGAGUAAGCACCGGCUAACUUCGUG
This 492-nucleotide ribosomal RNA is filed under the name uncultured bacterium. RNAcentral's name for it is "partial 16S ribosomal RNA". It matches the Rfam family "Bacterial small subunit ribosomal RNA", at positions 29 to 507 of the family's 1533-position model. The record is from RNAcentral.